Long non-coding RNA from Folsomia candida, 501 nucleotides. RefSeq lists it as uncharacterized. NCBI's taxonomy places the organism in Eukaryota, Metazoa, Arthropoda, Collembola, Entomobryomorpha, Isotomidae. The transcript is spliced from 3 exons. The record is from RefSeq and is a predicted model, not a curated record.
UAAGUUGCUAGUUCUUAUUUGAUCCAAUGGGCCGGGUAUACGAAGGAGGUUCAUGUGCAUAUGAAAAUCAGUCCAAAUCUUCAAUCCAUCCAACAAUUUUAAUAUUUUCUGGAAAAACUUGAUUCCCGCAUCCCGCCACAAUGAAAAUCGGAUUUGUCGUCAUUUUUUCCAUGUCGCUGAUCAUCGUAACGGCAGCUCAAGGCCCACGAAAUUUCUGUCCCGACUUGGAAGACGCCUGCGGUGAGGCUGGUGGAGCACCAGUUCCAUGUGGGGAAAUCUUAGCCAAUUCGGUGAUUUGUAUCAAUCCGGAAUCGGGCAUUUUCGACGCGAGUUGCCGCGCCUUUGGAACAACCUGUUCAGUCGCAAUGGUUGGGAUUGAGCACAGGUGCACCUGCCCCGGUCAAUGACCAAAUUCAUUUUAAAGUUUGAAUUCUUGAGGAUUAAUGGCAAUGGAUAAAUCUAAACUAAAAUAAAAUAAAUCAAAUUAAGCAAUACUAAAUA